This 427-nucleotide ribosomal RNA is filed under the name uncultured bacterium. Its description in RNAcentral is "partial 16S ribosomal RNA". It matches the Rfam family "Bacterial small subunit ribosomal RNA", at positions 355 to 774 of the family's 1533-position model. The record is from RNAcentral.
UGGGGAAUAUUGCACAAUGGGCGCAAGCCUGAUGCAGCCAUGCCGCGUGUAUGAAGAAGGCCUUCGGGUUGUAAAGUACUUUCAGCGGGGAGGAAGGUGUUGUGGUUAAUAACCACAGCAAUUGACGUUACCCGCAGAAGAAGCACCGGCUAACUCCGUGCCAGCAGCCGCGGUAAUACGGAGGGUGCAAGCGUUAAUCGGAAUUACUGGGCGUAAAGCGCACGCAGGCGGUCUGUCAAGUCGGAUGUGAAAUCCCCGGGCUCAACCUGGGAACUGCAUUCGAAACUGGCAGGCUAGAGUCUUGUAGAGGGGGGUAGAAUUCCAGGUGUAGCGGUGAAAUGCGUAGAGAUCUGGAGGAAUACCGGUGGCGAAGGCGGCCCCCUGGACAAAGACUGACACUCAGGUGCGAAAGCGUGGGGAGCAAACA